This 909-nucleotide ribosomal RNA is filed under the name uncultured bacterium. Its description in RNAcentral is "bacterial SSU rRNA". It matches the Rfam family "Bacterial small subunit ribosomal RNA", at positions 50 to 958 of the family's 1533-position model. The record is from RNAcentral.
UACACAUGCAGUCGUGCGAGAAGUAUCUUCGGAUAUGAGUAGAGCGGCGAACGGGUGAGUAACGCGUAGGAAUGUACCUAGUAGAAGGGGAUAGCCCGAGGAAACUCGGAUUAAUACCGUAUACCUCCUUCGGGAGAAAGAAGGCCUCUCUUUGAAGCUUUCGCUACUAGAUCAGCCUGCGUAAGAUUAGCUUGUUGGUGAGGUAAUGGCUCACCAAGGCUACGAUCUCUAGCUGGUCUGAGAGGACGAUCAGCCACAUUGGGACUGAGACACGGCCCAGACUCCUACGGGAGGCAGCAGUGGGGAAUAUUGGACAAUGGGCGCAAGCCUGAUCCAGCCAUACCGCGUGUGUGAAGAAGGCCUUCGGGUUGUAAAGCACUUUAAGCAGGGAGAAAAAAAUAUAGGUUAAUACCCUAUGUUCUUGAUGUUACCUGCAGAAUAAGCACCGGCUAAUUCCGUGCCAGCAGCCGCGGUAAUACGGAAGGUGCAAGCGUUAAUCGGAAUUACUGGGCGUAAAGCGCGCGUAGGUGGUUUGUUAAGUUGGAUGUGAAAGCCCUGGGCUCAACCUAGGAACUGCAUCCAAAACUGACUGACUAGAGUACGAUAGAGGGAGGUAGAAUUCAUAGUGUAGCGGUGGAAUGCGUAGAUAUUAUGAAGAAUACCAGUGGCGAAGGCGGCCUCCUGGAUCUGUACUGACACUGAGGUGCGAAAGCGUGGGUAGCGAACAGGAUUAGAUACCCUGGUAGUCCACGCCGUAAACGAUGACAACUAGCUGUUGGGAGGCAAUGCCUUUCAGUGGCGCAGCUAACGUUUUAAGUUGUCCGCCUGGGGAGUACGGCCGCAGGCUAAAACUCAAAUGAAUUGACGGGACCCGCACAAGCGGUGGAGCAUGUGGUUUAAUUCGAUGCA